RNAcentral lists this ribosomal RNA (862 nucleotides) under Aleurodiscus fujii. RNAcentral describes it as "LSU rRNA". It matches the Rfam family "Eukaryotic large subunit ribosomal RNA", at positions 78 to 930 of the family's 3401-position model. The record is from RNAcentral. Lineage: Eukaryota; Fungi; Basidiomycota; Agaricomycetes; Russulales; Stereaceae.
CCCUAGUAACUGCGAGUGAAGCGGGAAAAGCUCAAAUUUAAAAUCUGGCAGUUUCGGCUGUCCGAGUUGUAAUCUGGAGAAGUGUUUUCCGCGUUGGACCGUGUAUAAGUUUCCUGGAACGGAGCGUCAUAGAGGGUGAGAAUCCCGUCUUUGACACGGACCCCAAUGCUUUGUGAUACGCUCUCAAAGAGUCGAGUUGUUUGGGAAUGCAGCUCAAAAUGGGUGGUGAAUUCCAUCUAAAGCUAAAUAUUGGCGAGAGACCGAUAGCGAACAAGUACCGUGAGGGAAAGAUGAAAAGCACUUUGGAAAGAGAGUUAAACAGUACGUGAAAUUGUUGAAAGGGAAACGCUUGAAGUCAGUCGCGUUGGCCGGGACUCAGCCUUGCAUUCGCUUGGUGUACUUUCCGGUCGACGGGCCAGCAUCAAUUUUGAUCGCGGGAUAAAGGCUAGAGAAAGGUGGCUCUUCGGAGUGUUAUAGUCUCUGGUCGCAUGCCGCGGUUGGGAUUGAGGAACUCAGCACGCCUUUAUGGUCGGGGUUCGCCCACGUUCGUGCUUAGGAUGCUGGCGUAAUGGCUUUAAACGACCCGUCUUGAAACACGGACCAAGGAGUCUAACAUGCCUGCGAGUGUUCGGGUGGAAAACCCGUGCGCGUAAUGAAAGUGAAAGUUGGGAUCUCUGUCGUGGAGUGCACCGACGCCCGGACCAGAACUUCUGUGACGGAUCUGCGGUAGAGCAUGUAUGUUGGGACCCGAAAGAUGGUGAACUAUGCCUGAAUAGGGUGAAGCCAGAGGAAACUCUGGUGGAGGCUCGUAGCGAUUCUGACGUGCAAAUCGAUCGUCAAAUUUGGGUAUAGGGGCGAAAGA